GUGAGGAAUAUUGGACAAUGGGCGCAAGCCUGAUCCAGCAAUGCCGCGUGCAGGAAGAAGGCCUUCGGGUUGUAAACUGCUUUUGUACGGAACGAAACGGUCCUGGCUAAUAUCCGGGGCUAAUGACGGUACCGUAAGAAUAAGCACCGGCUAACUACGUGCCAGCAGCCGCGGUAAUACGUAGGGUGCGAGCGUUAAUCGGAAUUACUGGGCGUAAAGCGUGCGCAGGCGGUGCUGUAAGACAGGCGUGAAAUCCCCGGGCUCAACCUGGGAAUUGCGCUUGUGACUGCAGUGCUGGAGUGCGGCAGAGGGGGAUGGAAUUCCGCGUGUAGCAGUGAAAUGCGUAGAUAUGCGGAGGAACACCGAUGGCGAAGGCAAUCCCCUGGGCCUGCACUGACGCUCAUGCACGAAAGCGUGGGGAGCAAACAGGAUUAGAAACCCCGGUAGUCC
Molecule: ribosomal RNA, 450 nt
Filed under: uncultured bacterium
Lineage: Bacteria
Description: partial 16S ribosomal RNA
Rfam family: Bacterial small subunit ribosomal RNA
Source: RNAcentral